This 303-nucleotide ribosomal RNA is filed under the name uncultured bacterium. Its description in RNAcentral is "partial 16S ribosomal RNA". It matches the Rfam family "Bacterial small subunit ribosomal RNA", at positions 507 to 810 of the family's 1533-position model. The record is from RNAcentral.
AGCAGUCGCCACGGUAAUACGUAGGUGGCAAGCGUUGUCCGGAAUUAUUGGGCGUAAAGCGCGCGCAGGCGGAUCAGUUAGUCUGUCUUAAAAGUUCGGGGCUUAACCCCGUGAGGGGAUGGAAACUGCUGAUCUAGAGUAUCGGAGAGGAAAGUGGAAUUCCUAGUGUAGCGGUGAAAUGCGUAGAUAUUAGGAAGAACACCAGUGGCGAAGGCGGCUUUCUGGACGAAAACUGACGCUGAGGCGCGAAAGCCAGGGGAGCGAACGGGAUUAGAUCCCCAGUAGUCCCUGUCUCUUAUACAC